AAGACACUAGUAAAAAAAUUACAUCUCCUUGUCAAGGAAAAAUUGCGGGUUAGACUCCCGCGUGCCUUA
This 69-nucleotide transfer RNA is filed under the name Solea ovata (ovate sole). Its description in RNAcentral is "tRNA-Asp". It matches the Rfam family "tRNA". Rfam says of the family: Transfer RNA (tRNA) molecules are approximately 80 nucleotides in length. The record is from RNAcentral. Lineage: Eukaryota; Metazoa; Chordata; Actinopteri; Pleuronectiformes; Soleidae.